AAAUGUGGGGGCUUGCUCCCGAUAGCAGUAGGUCGGUCAGGACAUCUGAUACUGAUACACCGCCAUCGGGAGCAAGCCCCCUCCCAC
Molecule: unclassified non-coding RNA, 87 nt
Filed under: Pseudomonas palleroniana
Lineage: Bacteria; Pseudomonadati; Pseudomonadota; Gammaproteobacteria; Pseudomonadales; Pseudomonadaceae
Source: RNAcentral